RNAcentral lists this ribosomal RNA (649 nucleotides) under bacterium S1cc36. RNAcentral describes it as "bacterial SSU rRNA". It matches the Rfam family "Bacterial small subunit ribosomal RNA", at positions 35 to 730 of the family's 1533-position model. The record is from RNAcentral.
GCUGGCGGCAGGCCUAACACAUGCAAGUCGAGCGCGCCUUUCGGGGUGAGCGGCGGACGGGUUAGUAACGCGUGGGAAUAUACCCUUUGGUACGGAAUAGCCUCUGGAAACGGAGAGUAAUACCGUAUGAGCCCUUCGGGGGAAAGAUUUAUCGCCAAAGGAUUAGCCCGCGUUAGAUUAGGUAGUUGGUGGGGUAAUGGCCUACCAAGCCUACGAUCUAUAGCUGGUUUUAGAGGAUGAUCAGCAACACUGGGACUGAGACACGGCCCAGACUCCUACGGGAGGCAGCAGUGGGGAAUCUUGGACAAUGGGGGCAACCCUGAUCCAGCCAUGCCGCGUGAGUGAUGAAGGCCUUAGGGUCGUAAAGCUCUUUCGCCUGUGAAGAUAAUGACGGUAGCAGGUAAAGAAACCCCGGCUAACUCCGUGCCAGCAGCCGCGGUAAUACGGAGGGGGUUAGCGUUGUUCGGAAUUACUGGGCGUAAAGCGCACGUAGGCGGACCAGAAAGUUGGGGGUGAAAUCCCGGGGCUCAACCCCGGAACUGCCUCCAAAACUAUUGGUCUAGAGUUCGAGAGAGGUGAGUGGAAUUCCAAGUGUAGAGGUGAAAUUCGUAGAUAUUUGGAGGAACACCAGUGGCGAAGGCGGCUCACU